Molecule: long non-coding RNA, 8191 nt
Filed under: Malus domestica (apple)
Lineage: Eukaryota; Viridiplantae; Streptophyta; Magnoliopsida; Rosales; Rosaceae
Description: long non-coding RNA (MDOM_LNC019034)
Source: RNAcentral
ACUUAGGGAAGAAGAGAUUGCUAGCUAUUCCUUCCCUAGGUGGCCGGCCUCUUUAGAGAAAAUGAGAGAAAAUUGUUUCACCUCAUUUCACCAAGAAAAACCCUUAAUGAAAAUAAAGCUAUAAAGUUGAAUUUAUACUUCAUCACAUGUGAGUGGCAAACUUGUAAUUAAUCCAAGUUUGACACUUCUCACCCUAAUGCCCGGCCAUAUCAAAUUGAUUGGGCUCAUUGCCCAUUUUGUUUUAGUUGUCAUACAACUUAAACAUAAUGGGCCUUGUGGACCAAAACGCUUUUGGGCCCCGAAACCCAAAACCAACAUAUAAGCCCAAUACAAACAUUUCGUAUAAUUAAUUAACUAAUUAAUUAACCUUGACCAUUCUUCAAUUAAACCAUUUAAUUGCUUAUCCAUUUCAUUUAAUUUCUUCACCAACAUCCUUACUCGGUGUACGAUCCAUUAGGUUCCAUUUAGCGAGGUAGUGGGCGAUUGUUACUCUUAACGAUCGAUUGUGAAUUGAAACCACAUUUCAAUUCUCCCUUAAAAUUAGUGUUUGCUAAUCUUUAGGGCUUCCACAAAUCAUGAGUGACACCAAGCAGCAUAUCAUGGUUACCCAAGCUAAGUAGAAGUGGUUGGAGAACCUAUCCAGUUACAACUACAAUGCAAUACGGUCAUUCUCUAAUACAAUACUCUUAACCACAUUGUUUUAGAUGAUAGUUUGUUUCAUGUCUACUAUCCAAUGUGAUAUUUAUCUAUAUGAUUCAAUUGAAUAUGAUUUGGAACAAACUUCCUAAGUCAUAUUCAUAUGCUUUGGCCAAAGACUCUCGAAUCAUAUCUUAGAGUAUUCUCCUUCCACCAUGGAAGGUUAGGGAUUCCUUGUUGUGCAUUCAUAUGCCUACAUGACUAGGUAGCUUGACCACAACAAUGCCGUGGACACUCCAAUGGGAUGCCUUUGACAUGAUCGAAGAUCAAUGACCUAACCAUUAGAUAUCUAUGAUGCCUUAGGUCAAAGGACUAAUUUGCAUAUUGCAACUUUCGAGUUCUUACAUGACAUGUAUGUUCGAACUCUCUUUUGAUCAUUGUUCAGUGUACUCGAUCACUCUUUCGAGCACCUAUGUGUUUGCCUUAAUGUCCAACACUAAAUGACAUGAGACUAGUCAUACUCACACUUGAGUCGACAUAACACAUACUAACCUUAGCGGAUUGUCAAUGCCCAAUUGGCAAUCCUAUGGCUAGGAACGUUUUAGGAAUGAACAUAAGAGAAAGGUCUUGAUAAUCUAACCUACUUAAAUCACUUAUCUCUUAGAUAAAAUACAUUCUUUGGAUUCCCUUAUUGCUUAAACACAUGAUAUAAUAAAUAAUGAUUAACAAUAAGCUUUGCCCUUCAUUAAACAUAUAAAAGUUUAAUACAAUAAGUAUUCCGAAAGCUAUUACAUCAAAUGAGUGGCUUUGUGGGCAUACUUCCCAUCGGCAGCAUAUCUUCUAAUGAUAUUAAAGCGCCUGUCAAAAUACUUGUUCUUUUGAUGUGCCCUGGGUUCCUUGGCUUGAGCUAUUGCCCCACUAUUAUCACAGUACAAAGUUACUGGUGAUGUAAUGGUUGGAACCACUCCAAGUUCAGUUAUGAACUUCUUCAUCCAGAACGCUUCUUUGCCGGCUUCAGCUGCAGCGACAUAUUCAGCCUCUAUCGUGGAAUCAGCAAUUACACUUUGUUUCUUGCUCUUCCAACUGAUAGCCCCACCAUUUAGAGUGAAUACAUAUUCGGAGUUGGAACUUCUAUCAUCGACGUCAGAUUGGAAAUCUGCGUCUGUAUAGGCUUCCACUCGCAACUCUGUCGCUCCUCCAUAAACGAGGAACAUAUCCUUAGUUCUUCUUAAGUACUUAAGGACCGUCUUGUCAGUUGCCCAGUGUUCUGAUCCUGGGUUAGAUUGAUAUCGACUAGUAAUGCUCACAUCAUAUGCGAUAUCCGGCCUUGUGCAUAUCAUGGCAUACAUGAGACUUCCUAUGGCGGAAGCAUAAGGAACAGUACUCAUUUGCCGUAUCUCUUCAGGAGUCUUAGGUUCCAUGGACUUAGAAAGGUGAAUUCCAUGUCUCACAGGAAGAAUACCUUUCUUAGAUUGUUCCAUCUGGAACCUACUUAGCACCUUUUCAAUGUACAUAGAUUUGGCUAAUCCAAUUAAUUUUCUGGAUCUAUCACGAUAGAGCUUUAUCCCAAGUGCAUAAGAUGCAUCUCCUAAAUCUUUCAUGUGGAAGGUUUUAGGCAACCACACUUUUACAGAAGAAAGUACCGCAGUGUCAUUCCCGAAUAGUAAUAUGUCAUCUACAUAUAACACUAGGAAUACGACUGCAUCCCCAACGACCUUUUAAUAAACACAAUUGCCGUCUUCGUUUUGAGUAAAACCAAACAAUUGUCGUCCUGGAGGCUUGCUUAUGUCCAUAAAUGGACCUCAGAAGCUUGCAUACCUUAGUCUUUUCAGACUUGGACACGAAACCUUCGGGUUGAGCCAUAUAAAGCUCUUCCUCUAGGUAGCCGUUCAGAAAGGCCGUCUUCACGUCCAUUUGCCAGAUCUCAUAAUCAUGGUACGCAGCUAUAGCAAGCAAAAUCCGAAUGGACUUAAUCAUGGCUACAGGAGAAAAGGUUUCUUCAUAGUCAAAUCCUCCUAUUUGCCUGUAACCCUUGGCUACUAGUCUAGCCUUAUAAGUCUCCACAUUCCCAUCAACGCCUAUCUUUCUCUAGAAGACCCAUUUGUUUCCAACAGGUACUAUACCUUCUGGAGGGUCUACAAGAGUCCAGACCUGAUUUUGAUACAUGGAAUCCAUCUCAGAUUUCAUGGCCUCUUGCCAUCUCUUCGAAUCAAUGUCGGACAUUGCUUCAGUGUAGUCCCUAGGGUCCUCAUUUGUGUCAUUGUCACCUAGAAGGUACAAUUCCUCAAAGUCAUUCUCUAAGCCAUACCUCUUAGGUGGCUUACUAACCCGUUCAGAUCUACGUGGAGCUAGGGGUUCAGGAACAGGGUUGUUAACUUGUCGAGUGCUUGUUUGUGGUUCAUCAUUAAUCUCAUUAAUUUCCAUCGUUUUACUUCUAGUUCCUUUGAGAACAAAUUGUUCCUCUAGAAACAUAGCAGUUCUGGCGACAAAGACUUUCUGGUCGUCAGGAUGGUAGAACUCAUAUCCCAUAGUUUCUCUAGGAUAUCCCACAAAAUAGCACAUAACUGAUCUUUCUUCAAGCUUAGUAGCUUCAAGCUUCUUGACAUAUGCUUCACAAUCUCAAAUCUUAAUGUGAUUAAGACUUGGCUUUCUUCCAUGCCAUAUCUCAUAGGGCGUUUGUGAAACUAACUUGGAAGGUACUCUAUUAAGCAAGUAAGCUGUUGUAUUUAGAGCGUAUCCCCAUAAUGUUACUGGUAGAUCAGCGGAACUCAUCAUAGAAUGAACCAUGUUCAUCAAGGUUCGAUUUCUCCUUUCAGAAACUCCAUUAAGUUGUGGAGUUCCUGGUGGAGUCCACUGUGAUAUUAUUCCACACUCUUUGAGAUAAUCUAGGAACUCAUUACUCAGAUAUUCACCCCCUCGAUCCGAUCUUAGGAUCUUUAUCUGUUUCCCAGUUUGCUUAUCAACUUCAUUCUUGAAUUCUUUGAACCUUUCAAAGGAUUCUGACUUGUAUUUCAUAAGAUACACAUAGCCAAACCGAGAGUGAUCGUCGGUGAAUGUGAUAUAGUAGGAGAAGCCUCCUCUCGAUGUAGUAAACAUAGGUCCACAUAUGUCAGUGUGGAUUAACCCUAGAAUUUCAGUGGCACGCUCUCCUUUCCCAGUGAAUGGAGAUUUGGUCAUCUUCCCUUUCAGGCAACAUUCACAAGUACCCAUCCGGUCAUUACCUAAUUGGCGGAAAUAUCCGUCUUUCGACAUCUUGCAAAUCUUAUCAAGGUUCACAUGUCCAAGUUUAAGAUGCCACAUCUUUUCUUGGUUAACUUCUUCUCUAGCCCUUUUGGGUUUUGAGGAAUUCCUGCUUUCAAUACAGUGUAUCCCACUAUUCGUCUCUAGGUGAAAAAGUCCCUUUAUCAUAUUACCAUGAGAGAUAAUACGACCGUUCAAGUAUAAAGUGCAACUCAUUUUGUCAAACAAUACUGAGUGCCCAUCUCGUAAAAGCUUAGAGAUAGAAAUCAAAUUCUUUAUACAUGAAGGAAAAUAUAAACAAUUUUUAAGUUCCAGGACUUCCCAGAGGGUAGUUUAAGCAUGUAGGUGCCUAUUGCUUUUGCAGAGAUUUUAGUGCCGUUCCCAACUCGCACAACCAUCUCCCCAUUGCGCAGUGACCUGCUCCCUGCUAGUCCUUGCAUCGUAUUACAGAUAUGUUAACUAGCGCCUGAAUCAAAUAUCCAGGAAUUGGAGCUCACUGUAAAAGCACUCUCUAUGACGGAAAUAGUCUCUUCAAAAGUUCGUGUCAUAAGGCUCGCAAUGCGCACCCUAUAUUUCUUCUUCCAACGUUCAUCAUUUCCACAAUGAAAGCAUGUUCCUUUGGAUUUCUUUGCCUUCUUCUUAUGCAACCUUUUCCUUGUGAUUGCAUCCUCACUCCCACUGUCCUUUUUGAAACCUUUUUCAAAUUUACAGCACAUGUCAAUCAUCUCGUUUAAAGUAUGAUCGAAUCUAUUCACUUUAUAGUUUACAAUAAACUUAGUGAAAUCAUCCGAGAGAGAUGCAAGGAAAAGUCUUGGGCCAUUUUCCCAUCGAUGGAAGUUCCUAAACUUUGAAGAUCUUGAAAGAUCCUUUCCAUCUUUUGUCCAUGUUUAUCGACUGAUGUCCCCUUUGCCAUUUUGGCAUUCAUUAGACUACAAACAUUUGAGAAUCGUACAUUACUAGUCUCAUUGUCAUGCAUCUUAUGCAAACUUUCAACCAUGGCACAAGAAGUGUCCAUGUGCUUAUGUAGCUUCAUAAGCUCCUCACUAAGUGAAGUGAGGAUUAAGCAUUUGGCUUGUAAGUCAUCCUCAUAGUGUCUAACAUAAUUUUGACACUCCUCCUUUGAAGCUAGUUUCGUAGGAGGUACAUGAGGAGGGGAUUGCUUAAGCACAUACAAUAUGUCUUUCACCUUUGAGACAUUCUCAAUGUGGCGAUACCAAGCAAGGAAACGUUGGCCCCUAAGGCCCCUUUUGUCAAGUAUAAUGGUGGGUAUUAUUUUAGGCAUGUCGUUAACUACAUAACAUAACAGAAAUCGUAUUAGAUUGUUUUAAAACUACUUGAUUGGGUCUUAAAUCAAAUAGUACCACCCACUAUUUUUGGCAAAUUCCACAUCCCUUAAUGGAAUUUGAGAGUCAUAUUGAACUCUUAGCGGGGUAUGGGAGGCUCACCAUUACCAAGCCCACCUCACGAUGAUACGAUAUUGGUUACCAAAAAUAAUGAUGAGAAAAUAACGCUUUAUUCAUUUACAACUUUUGUAAUUUCCCAUCUUGUUUGGCCUCUAGAGAAUGAUGCCUCACGAUGAUACGAUAUCGGCACCAUUGCACUUAGUUAAGUCAUUCCUACCAUGCUUAGUUCGUGAAGGGGUUCAAGAAUAGCCUCACAAUGAUAUGAUAUCGGCCAUCCUCGUUGCCUACACUCACCUCAUCAUAUGUUUAUGGACUCCUCCUGGAUGUAAGCACAUACUUUGAACUUCCCCAUGAUAGGAUGAAGCCGGUGUAGGAAUCACAAACGAUUGGAGCCCACCACGGUGGAAGGCCUACGAAGAGAUGUUCAGAACACCUCUCGCUUAUCAACUUAAUAUUCGUUUUGUUGAGGGAGUAGUGUUGGGCUACAUCAAAAUCAUUUUAAUCUUAUUAAAAGAACUUGGGCCUAUCACAACCAUUGGUCCAAGUUAAUAUGAAUUAGUAGUUUAUAAUACUCCCACUAUUUCGAUGAAAUAAGCGAGACUAUAUGGAACUACUAACGAAUGCUUUGCAUCCUCAUAUGGACUAUAUAGUCAUAUUAGGUUUUACGAUGAUUAUGAACCGUUUGAAUUUGAUCCAACACGAGCCUUGUGUUGGACCUUGGGUUUAAGGUAGAUAAUUGUUGAUUUUAGUUACGCGUUUAAUCCAAUUAAACCGUUAUUUCCUAUUGGGCGUUGGACCCAACUAUUCCAAUUUGCAUACAUAUAAACAAAAAGGAAUACAUGAAAUAAAGAUAAGGGCUUAUGCCUUUUUACAACACAAAUGAUGGACUUAUGUCCAUUUACAACAAAUUUGAACUAAUCAAAUUACAUUCAAAUCUAAACUACUAAACCCAAACAUUCAUAAUGUAAAGCGGCCAAUCACAUAGCUCAAUUAUCGAGGCCUUUGGUUCAUAAUCACCCUUUUCUUAAUCAAUCACAUUAACUAAGAAAGCAACUUAAACAAUUGGUUUUCGGAUUCAUAGAAUUGAUUUAAUGGAACUAAUUGAAAUGAAAAUCCAAUUCUCAUUAAAGAGACAAAACCAUUUUGUUCUCAUUUUAUUUGGGCCAAAAACAAUGACCUCAACAAUUGGGCCAUUAUUUAAUAAACAUAAACUUUCGGGGUCACUUUGUAAAAACACAAAAGUCCAUAACUUCAUGUAAUUACAAUUAGAACCCAAAAUUUUCAACAAUUCCUAAAACUUCAUUAAAGGAACAAAACAAUUUGUCCUUUAGUGAUUUUGGACCUUUAUGCAAAAAUACGUAAAAUGUUGAUCCAAAAUGCAAAAACACAAAAGUAUCAAAACUAUAUGUAAUUGCACAAAAGGCCCAAAAUUACCCUAUUUUAAAGGUUGGCCGGCCAUGAGAGAACAAGUGAAAAAAUAAAAUUUUCUAAAAAGUUUUUGCAAGUUGAUUUGGUAGGUGAGAUAAAGGUGAUUUAGAUGGUUUGUAAGAAAAUGUUUUGUAAAACAUUAAAGGCAUUAAACAUGUUUCACCAAUAAACAUCACCCAUCAAUUAUAUACCAAAACUUUAUGAAAAAACAUAAAACUUUUGAAUCAAAACUUUAAAACUUUUUGUUCUUGGCAAGAACUUCAAGAACAUUGAAGAACACUCAUGAAAACUCAUAAUAGUUCCAUGAAUGUUUUCACUCACCAAAAAUCAAAUUUUCACUACUCAAAAGAGGGUUAAUAUCCUAGGGUACUUAGGGGUUCCAAAAGUCACUUUAAAACUCUUUUAACAAGACAAACAUGAACCCAAAAAAUCACCCUUUGGAUUAGGCCGAAUUUCCCAACAUACAUGGCACCAAAUUUUAGUUCCAAUAUUCAUGCUUAAAUGAACUACAUCUACAACAUUUGAGAUGCUAAAUUUUCUAGCAAAAUUUAUAUUCAAAAGCAAGAACAAAGCUUGUAACAUUUACAACACUUAAAUCAUAAAUCAUGAAAAACACAAAACCCAAAAGGAUUCACUAUAAACUAGGCCUAGGCUCUGAUACCACUUGAAGGAAAAAUUUUGUCCUAGCUAAGAACAUGUGAGAAUAUUUGAAUACAUAUGCAAACUAUUAACACAUUAAAGUAGGCAUGCAUUAAAAAAUAAUUCAUAAAACCCAUGACUUUCAAAGCCUAGUAUAUGGUGAACCAAUAAACUCUUUAACAACAUUAAAGAGAAGGAAAGAUUUAGAGUUUCUUUACCCUUGAAGCUCAUCCUUGAUUACACAAGGGAUUCACCCAAGUGGAGGGCCUUCAAGUCACCUCCUUGCUCCUUGGAUCUUCCUUGUGAUUUUCCUCCUUUUUGUGCUCCUUUGCUUCUUUAAGGAUUUGAGGAUUUGUUCUCCAAAACAUCAAAAGCUUGAAGUGAAGAUGAAAUGGAUGACUUAGGGAAGAAGAGAGUGCUAGCUAUUCCUUCCCUAGGUGGCCGGCCUCUUUAUAGAAAAUGAGAGAAAAUUGUUUCACCUCAUUUCACCAAGAAAAACCCUUAAUGAAAAUAAAGCUAUAAAGUUGAAUUUAUACUUCAUCACAUGUGAGUGGCAAACUUGUAAUUAAUCCAAGUUUGACACUUCUCACCCUAAUGGCCGGCCAUAUCAAAUUGAUUGGGCUAAUUACCCAUUUUGUUUUAGUUGUCAUACAACUUAAACAUAAUGGGCCUUGUGGACCAAAACGCUUUUGGGCCCCGAAACCCAAAACCAACAUAUAAGCCCAAUACGAACAUUUCGUAUAAUUAAUUAACUAAUUAAUUAACCUUGACCAUUCUUCAAUUAAACCAUUUAAUUGCUUAUCCAUUUCAUUAAUUUCUUCACCAACAUCCUUACUCGGUGUACG